AGUCGAACGGCAGCGCGAGAGAGCUUGCUCUCUUGGCGGCGAGUGGCGGACGGGUGAGUAAUAUAUCGGAACGUGCCCAGUAGCGGGGGAUAACUACUCGAAAGAGUGGCUAAUACCGCAUACGCCCUACGGGGGAAAGGGGGGGAUCGCAAGACCUCUCACUAUUGGAGCGGCCGAUAUCGGAUUAGCUAGUUGGUGGGGUAAAGGCUCACCAAGGCAACGAUCCGUAGCUGGUUUGAGAGGACGACCAGCCACACUGGGACUGAGACACGGCCCAGACUCCUACGGGAGGCAGCAGUGGGGAAUUUUGGACAAUGGGGGAAACCCUGAUCCAGCCAUCCCGCGUGUAUGAUGAAGGCCUUCGGGUUGUAAAGUACUUUUGGCAGAGAAGAAAAGGUAUCCCCUAAUACGGGAUACUGCUGACGGUAUCUGCAGAAUAAGCACCGGCUAACUACGUGCCAGCAGCCGCGGUAAUACGUAGGGUGCAAACGUUAAUCGGAAUUACUGGGCGUAAAGCGUGUGUACGCGGUUCGGAAAGAAAGAUGUGAAAUCCCAGGGCUCAACCUUGGAACUGCAUUUUUAACUGCCGAGCUAGAGUAUGUCAGAGGGGGGUAGAAUUCCACGUGUAGCAGUGAAAAGCGCAUAUAUGUGGAGGAAUACCGAUG
Molecule: ribosomal RNA, 665 nt
Filed under: Alcaligenes faecalis
Lineage: Bacteria; Pseudomonadati; Pseudomonadota; Betaproteobacteria; Burkholderiales; Alcaligenaceae
Description: bacterial SSU rRNA
Rfam family: Bacterial small subunit ribosomal RNA
Source: RNAcentral